AUGGAAGACAUUUUCUUGCUAGACAAGAAAUAUCAAGAGAUAUUCUCUAAACAGAAACAGUGUUAUGAUAUUGCCCAGCAUGAGGAGCAAUCUCAGCAGACCUAUAAGAGUCAGCAUGGAGAGCCCCUGCUAAUGGAGUAUAGCCGCCAGGAGCUACUCAGGAAGGAAUGUCUGGUCCUAACCAGUGAGCACUGGUUAGUACUGGUCCCCUUCUGGGCAACGUGGCCCUACCAGACACUGCUGCUGCCCCAUCGGCAUGCGCAGCAGCUACCUGAGCUGACCCCUGCUGAGCGUGAUGAUCUAGCCUCCAUCAUGAAGAAGCUCUUGACCAAGUACGACAACCUCUUUGAGACGUCCUUUCCCUAUUCCAUGGGCUGGCAUGGGGCUCCCACAGGAUCCGAGGCCGGGACCAACUGGGACCACUGGCAGCUGCAUGCUCAUUACUACCCUCUGCUCCUGCGCUCUGCCACUGUCCAGAAAUUCAUGGUUGGCUACGAAAUGCUUGCUCAGGCUCAGAGGGACCUCACCCCUGAGCAGGCUGCGGAGAGACUAAGGGCACUUCCUGAUGUUCAUUACAGCCUGGGGCAGAAGGACAGGGAGACAGCAACCAUCACCUAACUAUGCCGACCACAGGGCCUUGAAUCCUUUUUUUUUUUUUUUUUUUUUCAACAGUCUUGCUGAAUUAAGCAGAAAGGGCCUUGAAUCCUGGCCUGGAAUUUGGGCAGAUAUAGCAUUAA
Molecule: RNA transcript, 737 nt
Organism: Piliocolobus tephrosceles (Ugandan red Colobus)
Lineage: Eukaryota; Metazoa; Chordata; Mammalia; Primates; Cercopithecidae
Gene name: galactose-1-phosphate uridylyltransferase pseudogene
Exons: 2
Source: RefSeq, a predicted model, not a curated record